This 642-nucleotide long non-coding RNA is filed under the name Cicer arietinum (chickpea). RNAcentral describes it as "long non-coding RNA (CARI_LNC000538)". Lineage: Eukaryota; Viridiplantae; Streptophyta; Magnoliopsida; Fabales; Fabaceae. The record is from RNAcentral.
UUUUCCAUGAUUGAAUUGGGCGAGAGCAUCAUCAUUGAUCAAAGAGAGCAUAGAGUAGUUGCAUGAGAAAAUAAAUAAAUAAACAUUUAUUUAUCUGGUGCAACACAAAAGCAUAUUCUGUUUAUUUCCAAAAAUAAAUUUCACUUGACACUAGCGUUUUUGUUUUGGUGUCAAUUUCUCAUUACACCAUAUCACAAUUCACCACCACACCCUUCUCUUCAAAUUCAAUCACACACGCAUAAAUCACCUUCUUCUCCCUCUCUUCUCUCUACACAUACACACAUUCAUAACCUCUCUAUCGCAAACAUUUAUUUAUCUGGUGCAACACAAAAGCAUAUUCUGUUUAUUUCCAAAAAUAAAUUUCACUUGACACUAGCGUUUUUGUUUUGGUGUCAAUUUCUCAUUACACCAUAUCACAAUUCACCACCACACCCUUCUCUUCAAAUUCAAUCACACACGCAUAAAUCACCUUCUUCUCCCUCUCUUCUCUCUACACAUACACACAUUCAUAACCUCUCUAUCGCAUCUCUCUCUCUCUCUCUCUCUCUCUCUCUCUCUCUCUCUCUCUCUCUCUCUACGCCAAUGGCCACCGCUACCGAUAACAACCUCUCCAAUCUCAAAUCUGCUGUCGCCGGAUUGGAA